UAGGGAAUCUUCCGCAAUGGGCGAAAGCCUGACGGAGCAACGCCGCGUGAGUGAUGAAGGUCUUCGGAUCGUAAAACUCUGUUAUUAGGGAAGAACAAAUGUGUAAGUAACUAUGCACGUCUUGACGGUACCUAAUCAGAAAGCCACGGCUAACUACGUGCCAGCAGCCGCGGUAAUACGUAGGUGGCAAGCGUUAUCCGGAAUUAUUGGGCGUAAAGCGCGCGUAGGCGGUUUUUUAAGUCUGAUGUGAAAGCCCACGGCUCAACCGUGGAGGGUCAUUGGAAACUGGAAAACUUGAGUGCAGAAGAGGAAAGUGGAAUUCCAAGUGUAGCGGUGAAAUGCGCAGAGAUAUGGAGGAACACCAAUGGCGAAGGCGACUUUCUGGUCUGUAACUGACGCAGAUGUGCGAAAGCGUGGGGAUCAAACAGG
RNAcentral lists this ribosomal RNA (429 nucleotides) under Actinomycetes bacterium. RNAcentral's name for it is "Actinobacteria bacterium partial 16S ribosomal RNA". It matches the Rfam family "Bacterial small subunit ribosomal RNA", at positions 355 to 776 of the family's 1533-position model. The record is from RNAcentral. Lineage: Bacteria; Bacillati; Actinomycetota; Actinomycetes.